This 293-nucleotide ribosomal RNA is filed under the name uncultured bacterium. Its description in RNAcentral is "partial 16S ribosomal RNA". It matches the Rfam family "Bacterial small subunit ribosomal RNA", at positions 28 to 334 of the family's 1533-position model. The record is from RNAcentral.
GAUGAACGCUGACAGAAUGCUUAACACAUGCAAGUCGACUCGAGUCUUCGGACUUGGGUGGCGCACGGGUGAGUAACGCGUAAAGAACUUGCCUCUUAGACCGGGACAACAUCUGGAAACGGAUGCUAAUACCGGAUAUGAACCAUCUUUAGUGUGGUGGUUGGAAAGUUUUUUCGGUGUAGGAUGAGCUCGCGGCCUAUCAGCUUGUUGGUGGGGUAAUGGCCUACCAAGGCGGCGACGGGUAGCCGGCCUGAGAGGGUGCACGGCCACAUUGGGACUGAGAUACGGCCCAG